UACCUGCAGCUCGAGUGGUAACCGCUAUUAUUGGGCCUAAAGCGUCCGUAGCCGGUUUGGUAAAUAUCUGGGUAAAUCGUGAGGCUUAACUUCACGAAUUUCGGAUAGACUGCCAGACUUGGGAUCGGGGGAGGUCAGAGGUACUCCAGGGGUAGCGGUGAAAUGCUGUAAUCCUUGGAGGACCACCGGUAGCGAAGGCGUCUGACUAGAACGAGUCCGACGGUGAGGGACGAAGCCCUGGGGCGCAAACCGGAUUAGAUACCCGGGUAGUCCAGGGUGUAGACAAUGUGGGCUUUGUAUUGGAGGUUCCACGUGGGCGUCCAGUGCAGAAGAGAAGUUGUUAAGCCCACCGCCUGGGAAGUACGGUCGCAAGGCUGAAACUUAAAGGAAUUGGCGGGGGAGCACAGCAACGGGAGGAGCGUGCGGUUU
RNAcentral lists this ribosomal RNA (429 nucleotides) under uncultured archaeon. RNAcentral describes it as "bacterial SSU rRNA". It matches the Rfam family "Archaeal small subunit ribosomal RNA", at positions 474 to 903 of the family's 1478-position model. The record is from RNAcentral.